CCUACGGGAGGCUGCAGUAGGGAAUCUUCCACAAUGGGCGAAAGCCUGAUGGAGCAACGCCGCGUGGGUGAAGAAGGUCUUCGGAUCGUAAAACCCUGUUGUUAGAGAAGAAAGUGCGUGAGAGUAACUGUUCACGUUUCGACGGUAUCUAACCAGAAAGCCACGGCUAACUACGUGCCAGCAGCCGCGGUAAUCCGUAGGUGGCAAGCGUUAUCCGGAUUUAUUUGGCGUAAAGGGAACGCAGGCGGUCUUUUAAGUCUGAUGUGAAAGCCUUCGGCUUAACCGGAGUAGUGCAUUGGAAACUGGGAGACUUGAGUGCAGAAGAGGAGAGUGGAACUCCAUGUGUAGCGGUGAAAUGCGUAGAUAUAUGGAAGAACACCAGUGGCGAAAGCGGCUCUCUGGUCUGUAACUGACGCUGAGGUUCGAAAGCGUGGGUAGCAAACAGGAUUAGAUACCCGAGUAGUC
Molecule: ribosomal RNA, 465 nt
Filed under: uncultured bacterium
Lineage: Bacteria
Description: partial 16S ribosomal RNA
Rfam family: Bacterial small subunit ribosomal RNA
Source: RNAcentral